GGGGCUAUAGCUCAGCUGGUUAGAGCGCAGCACUGAUAAUGCUGAGGUCGAUGGUUCGACUCCAUCUAGCCCCA
Molecule: transfer RNA, 74 nt
Filed under: Acidimicrobiales bacterium
Lineage: Bacteria; Bacillati; Actinomycetota; Acidimicrobiia; Acidimicrobiales
Also listed under: 2 other names
Description: tRNA-Ile
Rfam family: tRNA
About the family: Transfer RNA (tRNA) molecules are approximately 80 nucleotides in length. Their secondary structure includes four short double-helical elements and three loops (D, anti-codon, and T loops). Further hydrogen bonds mediate the characteristic L-shaped molecular structure. tRNAs have two regions of fundamental functional importance: the anti-codon, which is responsible for specific mRNA codon recognition, and the 3' end, to which the tRNAs corresponding amino acid is attached (by aminoacyl-tRNA synthetases). tRNAs cope with the degeneracy of the genetic code in two manners: having more than one tRNA (with a specific anti-codon) for a particular amino acid; and 'wobble' base-pairing, i.e. permitting non-standard base-pairing at the 3rd anti-codon position.
Source: RNAcentral